CGAACACGCUGCGGGCGAGACCAGAAAAUGAAAUUUAUUAUCGGUGGAAGAGACUUUCGAGACAAUUCCAAGUUAUUGUUUCUCCCCGGAGAAGGGGCCGUGCACAGUGAAACGCCUUUUGUGCGGCGCGGAACAAUGCCAAACAAGUGUUCUAGUACAGAGCCACUUUGUGUUCCCCUCGCCAGUGAAUAGAAAGGAGCCGUUGGUUCGUGAGCAGCUGGGACGCGCGGAGGGAGGUGGAGCCGCAGGCGCCCUCUCGCGUGCGCGCCCUCCGCCCCGCGCCCCGCGCCACCGGGAGCCCCGGCCCGACCCGGCCGAGGUUCGGCCCCAAGGCGGCGACACAGCACUCCGCCCGCGGCGCGCUCUCGGCGCGGGGCCGACUCCAGCUUUGUCUCGCGAGGGGACCCCUCGGCCGUGGGCCGCGCCGGGCCUCCCGGCGGCGCCGGCUGCUUCUCUUCGCGCCGCGACAGGCCCCCCCCCCCACCGGACCAGACCAGACCAGACCAGACCAGAGGCGGCGUCUGGACGAGAGCGGCGGGCGGACGGAGCUUGCAGUGCUCGCAGCUGCUGUUUCCAGGAUGUCCUUCUCUGUCAGGCUGCAAUCUCCAGGACAAAAAGCCCACAGGACUUUUGCUCAGUGGAGCUCAGUCUGCAGAAACACUCUGUCAUUUGCAGCUGUUUCCUUGCCGCCGGGUUAGCUCUGGAGUCCCCAAAGAGUCAGAUGGGAUGAGAAGACUCGCUGUUCCCCAGGCACCUGGGAACUGCUGCCAGGGGACAAUAAAGCAGGUCUGUGAUGUGGUAAAAGUGAAGAUUCCUUGGAGAAAACAUCAUUUAUUUUUCUGGCUGUGAAUUUACAAGAUGCUAAAGCCUCUAACAAUUUAGUCUGAAUUUCAGUGACUUGUUGCUCACUGAGCUCAGUGUAGGCAAAUGUCUGACUAUGACAGUGGACAGGUGGACCUUGCUUUUCCAGGCUCAGAAAUAAAGUAGCAGUACUCAGAG
Long non-coding RNA from Heterocephalus glaber (naked mole-rat), 999 nucleotides. RefSeq lists it as uncharacterized. The record is from RefSeq and is a predicted model, not a curated record. NCBI's taxonomy places the organism in Eukaryota, Metazoa, Chordata, Mammalia, Rodentia, Bathyergidae.